Long non-coding RNA from Lutra lutra (Eurasian river otter), 880 nucleotides. RefSeq lists it as uncharacterized. Lineage: Eukaryota; Metazoa; Chordata; Mammalia; Carnivora; Mustelidae. The transcript is spliced from 3 exons. The record is from RefSeq and is a predicted model, not a curated record.
GUGAAGAUGUAAAUACGAUGUUCAAUGUUUGUUUAUUUCGAAGUGUUGAGAGCCUACGAUCAGCAGAGAAGGAGGAGGACACUUCCGGCUGGGGAAUUAGCCAGCAUAGAAGUUUAGUUAGAAGGAGGACUUCCUGAAUCCCGGGUAGAGCCUGGCAAACAGAUUGGUUUUGCAGUUUGCCUUGAGGGAUUAUGGAAAAUGAGGAUCUACAGGUAGGGAGAAAGUUGCCAAAUGCAGUCUUCAGAGGCCUAGUUGAAAAUUUAUACUUAGUAAUAUAAUUACUACAUAUGACAUUUUGGGGCACUUAAUCUUUUCACAUAAUUUUACCCAUGGGACGAGCCUCACAGUUAAUUAGUGUUUAUUGUAACUGUUUCAUAGCUAGGUUAACUGAGGUAUGGAAGUUACUGGCUUUUUUCUAGGGCCACAGAGCAAGGAGCCAACGGGGAGGAAGGACAGGCGUUGAGGCGGAGGGAGGUGUGCAGGCGAGCCGUGUCUGGGUCGGUCGCUGGACGGUGGUGCUGGAACAGAGAGACAUGCUCAGAGCAGUGAAAAAUUUGUCACCCGACACCUAUCUUCCCUGCUGAGGCUAAAAAGAGAGGGACAUUCUGGCUCCUGGUUUCAGCUCUCCUACUGUAAACACGUUCUAUGUAUUGCUACGUUUUCUGAUCGCUGGUGAUUCAGUGCACUAGAAUGACCCCUAAGCGCUGACGUGGUGGCCAGCGCUCCUACAUGUCAUAAGGCCGUGUUGUGUGUCAGCUCCUGCUCCUUCCACUUACCUUGCCCAAAAGCUCUUCAAACUCUGGGGACCAUUCCUGCAUCAGCGUGUCAAUAUCAGGCAUGGGCCUACAUGGACAGAGGUAAGUAUGAGCAAGAAACAUGG